ACGGCCUAAAGCGUGGUUAAAUAAUAUUAAACUCAAUAGAAAUAAAAAUUAACUUAACUGUUAUACGUAUUUGUUAAACGGACACCCAAAACCGAAAGAUAUUCUAAUAAACAAAUUACUUGAAUCCACGAAAGCUAAGAAACAAACUAGGAUUAGAUACCCUACUAUGCUUAGCCCUAAACUUUGGAAACCCCCCCGCCUGAGUACUACGAGCCACAGCUUAAAACUCAAAGGACUUGGCGGUGCUCUACACCCCCCUAGAGGAGCCUGUUCUAUAAUUGAUAACCCCCGCUAAACCUCACCACUUAUUGCCAGUACCGCCUAUAUACCGCCGUCGUCAGCUCACCAUUUGAAUGAAUAAUAGUAGGCAUAAUGAUAAACAUAAAAACGUCAGGUCAAGGUGUAGCGAAUUGAGUGGAAAGAAAUGGGCUACAUUUUCUAUACAGAAAAUACGAAAAAUCUUAUGAAAAAAAAUUUAAAGGUGGAUUUAGCAGUAAAAAGAAAACAUAGUGUUCUUUUAAAAUAGGCCCUAGAGCGCGCACACACCGCCCGUCACCCUCCUUAAAAAAUAUAGUGAUAUAAUAAAACAAAACAAAAGAAGAGGUAAGUCGUAACAUGGUAAGUUUACCGGAAGGUGUACUUGGAUUAU
This 649-nucleotide ribosomal RNA is filed under the name Batrachuperus londongensis (Longdong stream salamander). RNAcentral describes it as "partial 12S ribosomal RNA". It matches the Rfam family "Bacterial small subunit ribosomal RNA", at positions 555 to 1533 of the family's 1533-position model. The record is from RNAcentral. Lineage: Eukaryota; Metazoa; Chordata; Amphibia; Caudata; Hynobiidae.